Molecule: ribosomal RNA, 797 nt
Filed under: uncultured bacterium
Lineage: Bacteria
Description: bacterial SSU rRNA
Rfam family: Bacterial small subunit ribosomal RNA
Source: RNAcentral
GACCGGCGCACGGGUGCGUAACGCGUAUGCAAUCUACCUUUCACAGAGGGAUAGCCCAGAGAAAUUUGGAUUAAUACCUCAUAGUAUUAUAGAGUGGCAUCACUUUAUAAUUAAAGUCACAACGGUGAAAGAUGAGCAUGCGUCCCAUUAGCUAGUUGGUAAGGUAACGGCUUACCAAGGCAACGAUGGGUAGGGGUCCUGAGAGGGAGAUCCCCCACACUGGUACUGAGACACGGACCAGACUCCUACGGGAGGCAGCAGUGAGGAAUAUUGGACAAUGGGCGCAAGCCUGAUCCAGCCAUGCCGCGUGCAGGAUGACGGUCCUAUGGAUUGUAAACUGCUUUUGUACAGGAAGAAACACUGGUUCGUGAACCAGCUUGACGGUACUGUAAGAAUAAGGAUCGGCUAACUCCGUGCCAGCAGCCGCGGUAAUACGGAGGAUCCAAGCGUUAUCCGGAAUCAUUGGGUUUAAAGGGUCCGUAGGCGGUUUAGUAAGUCAGUGGUGAAAGCCCAUCGCUCAACGGUGGAACGGCCAUUGAUACUGCUAAACUUGAAUUAUUAGGAAGUAACUAGAAUAUGUAGUGUAGCGGUGAAAUGCUUAGAGAUUACAUGGAAUACCAAUUGCGAAGGCAGGUUACUACUAAUGGAUUGACGCUGAUGGACGAAAGCGUGGGUAGCGAACAGGAUUAGAUACCCUGGUAGUCCACGCCGUANACGAUGGAUACUAGCUGUUGGAAGCAAUUUCAGCGGCUAAGCGAAAGUGAUAAGUAUCCCACCUGGGGAGUACGUUCGCAAGA